ACUAAUUAAAACAAUGAGGGGCGGGACCUCCUGCCCUCACGAUUAUCAGGAAGCACGGACAGACUAUACGCAGCGUGGUCGUUCCCCACGCUACGCGAAAAAACAGCCUCCUGAUUAAUCUUCGAGGGUAGCGCUGCUACCCUUUUUUUUUCGGAGUAGA
Molecule: small RNA, 160 nt
Filed under: [Enterobacter] lignolyticus SCF1
Lineage: Bacteria; Pseudomonadati; Pseudomonadota; Gammaproteobacteria; Enterobacterales; Enterobacteriaceae
Description: Enterobacter cloacae SCF1 sroC RNA
Rfam family: sroC RNA
About the family: This family consists of a number of bacterial sroC RNA genes of around 160 bases in length. sroC is found in several Enterobacterial species. It base-pairs with GcvB.
Source: Rfam by way of RNAcentral